Molecule: non-coding RNA, 3267 nt
Organism: Microcebus murinus (gray mouse lemur)
Lineage: Eukaryota; Metazoa; Chordata; Mammalia; Primates; Cheirogaleidae
Source: RefSeq, a predicted model, not a curated record
UGCCUGUUAUACACAUGCUGCAAACAACUCAAUAUAUAAACUUGAAAUAUGAAAAAUUAUUUAAAAAAUAAUUCUAAAUUAGUGAAAUGGCAGAUUUUCCUGAUUUACAGACAUGCAUAUUUUUCAGAUGACUUAUUAGGAUCCAUAUUUAUACAGCCAAUCCUAAUUUAGUAAAAUUAAUAAUUUAUUAUGGUGAGUUUUUAAAAAUUUAUCUUAUUGAAAAAUGAACUAUACAUCAUUUUCUCUUGAAUAUACCUAAUCUGUUGUUCUACUUGAAGCACUAAACACAUUAGCAAUAAUUAAAAAUAACAAACUUUUGGAGCUGGACCGCAGAGGGGCUGCACCUGGCCUUAUGGGCUGAGAAGAAAGCCAAGGUAAUUGCAGUAAUGAAUGCUGUGGAAGAGAACCAGGGGUCUGGGGAGUCUCAGAAGGUGGAGGAGGCCAGCCCUCCCGCUGUGCAGCAGCCCACUGACCCCUCGUCCCCCACGGUGGCCACCACGCCUGAACCCGUGGGGGCUGAUGCUGGCGACAAGAAUGCCACCAAAGCAGCCGACGACGAACCGGAGUACGAGGACAGCCGGGGCUUUGGCACUGGGGAGCUGGUGUGGGGGAAACUGUGGGGCUUCUCCUGGUGGCCAGGCCACAUUGUGUCUUGGUGGAUGACGGGCCCGAGCCAAGCAGCUGAAGGCACCCGCUGGGUCAUGUGGUUCGGAGAUGGCAAGUUCUCAGUGGUGUGUGUGGAGAAGCCGAUGCCACUGAGCUCGUUUUGCAGCGCGUUCCACCAGGCCACCUACAACAAGCAGCCCAUGUACUGCAAAGCCAUCUACAAAGUCCUGCAGGUGGCCAGCAGCCGCUCCGGGAAGCUGUUCCCAGCGUGCCAUGACAGCGACGAGAGUGACACUGCCAAGGCCGUGGAGGUGCAGAACAAGCAAAUGAUUGAAUGGGCCCUCGGGGGGGGUUCCAGUCCUCCGGCCCCAAGGGCCUGGAGCCACCAGAAGAGGAGAAGAAUCCCUACAAAGAAGUUUACACAGACAUGUGGGUUGAACCUGAGGCAGCUGCCUAUGCACCACCCCCACCAGCCAAAAAGCCCCGAAAGAGCACAACAGAGAAGCCCAAGGUCAAGGAGAUUAUCGAUGAACUCACAAGAGAGCGGCUGGUGUACGAGGUGCGGCAGAAGUGCCGGAAUAUCGAAGAUAUUUGCAUUUCUUGUGGGAGCCUCAACGUCACCCUGGAACACCCUCUCUUCAUUGGAGGAAUGUGCCAAAACUGCAAGAACUGCUUCCUGGAGUGUGCAUACCAGUAUGACGACGAUGGCUAUCAGUCCUACUGCACCAGCUGCUGUGGGGGGCGUGAGGUGCCCAUGUGCGGGAACAACAACUGCUGCAGGUGCUUUUGCGUGGAGUGUGUGGACCUCUUGGUGGGGCCAGGGGCUGCCCAGGCGGCCAUUAAGGAAGACCCCUGGAACUGCUACAUAUGUGGGCACAAGGGUACCUAUGGGCUGCUGCGGCGGCGGGACAACUGGCCCUCUAGGCUCCAGAUGUUCUUCGCCAAUAACCACAACCAGGAAUUUGACCCUCCGAAGGUUUAUCCACCUGUCCCAGCCGAGAAGAGGAAGCCUAUCCGGGUGCUGUCUCUCUUUGACGGAAUUGCUACAGGGCUCCUGGUGCUGAAGGACCUGGGCAUCCAGGUGGACCGCUACAUUGCCUCGGAGGUGUGCGAGGACUCCAUCACGGUGGGCAUGGUGCGACACCAGGGGAAGAUCAUGUACGUCGGGGAUGUCCGCAGCGUCACACAGAAGCAUAUCUAGGAGUGGGGCCCAUUCGAUCUGGUGAUUGGGGGCAGUCCCUGCAACGAUCUCUCCAUCGUCAACCCUGCCCACAAGGGACUCUACAAGGGCACUGGCCAGCUCUUCUUUGAGUUCUACCGCCUCCUGCAUGAUGCGUGGCCCAAGGAGGGAGAUGAUCGCCCCUUCUUCUAGCUCUUUGAGAAUGUGGUGGCCAUGGGCGUUAGUGACAAGAGGGACAUCGCGAGAUUUCUCGAGUCCAACCCUGUGAUGAUUGAUACCAAAGAAAUGUCAGCUGCACACAGGGCCCGCUACUUUUGGGGUAACCUUCCCGGUAUGAACAGGCCAUUGGCAUCCACUGUGAAUGAUAAGCUGGAGCUGCAGGAGUGUCUGGAGCACGGCAGGAUAGCCAAGUUCAGCAAAGUAAGGACCAUUACUACUAGGUCGAACUCCAUAAAGCAGGGCAAAGACCAGCAUUUCCCCGUCUUCAUGAACGAGAAAGAGGACAUCUUAUGGUGCACUGAAAUGGAAAGGGUGUUUGGCUUCCCCGUCCACUAUACCGACGUCUCCAACAUGAGUCGCUUGGCCAGGCAGAGACUUCUGGGCCGGUCGUGGAGCGUGCCAGUCAUCCGCCACCUCUUCGCUCCGCUGAAGGAAUAUUUUGCUUGUGUGUAAGGGACAUGGGGGCAAACUGAGGUAGUGACACAAAGUUAAACAAACAAAAAAAACACAAAACAUAAUAAAACACCAAGAACGUGAGGAUGGAGAGAAGUAUCAGCACCCAGAAGAGAAAAAGAAAUUUAAAACAAAAACCACAGAGGCAGAAAUACCGGAGGGUCAUGCCUUGCGAAAAGGGUUGGACAUCCUCUCCUGAUUUUUCAAUGUUAAUCUUCAGUCCUAUUUAAAAACAAAACCAAGCCCCGCCCCCUUUUAUUUGGUCAGACCUUUUGUUUUCUACUCUUUUCAGAGGGGUUUUCUGUUUGUUUGGGUUUUUGUUUCUUGCUGUGACUGAAACAAGAGGGUUAUUGCAGCAAAAAUCAGUAAAAAAAAAUAGUAACAAUACCUUGCAAGAGGAAAGAUGGGAGAGAGGAAAAAAGAAAAGAAAAUUCUAUAGAAAUCUAUCUAUAUAUUGGGUAUUCUUUUUUUUUUUUUUUACUAUAUAUCUUUUUUUGUUGUCUCUAGCCUGAUCAGAUAGGAGCACAAGCAGGAGGCAGAAACAGAGAGACACUUAGGUGGCAGAAUUCCCUCCCAGCCACCGAGCUGUCUUGCCAGCACCAUUCCUGGUCAUGCAGAACAGAACCCAGCUAGCAGCAGGGUGACAAGAACACCACAUACUACACUUUUCUACAGUAUUUCAGGUGCCUACCACACAGGAAACCUUGAAGAAAAUCAGUUUCUAGAAGCCGCUGUUACCUCUUGUUUACAGUUUAUAUAUAUAUGAUAGAUAUGAGAUAUAUAUAUAAAAGGUACUGUUAACUACUGUA